UACGGGGGGGGCAAGCGUUGUUCGGAAUUACUGGGCGUAAAGGGCUCGUAGGUGGCCAACUAAGUCAGACGUGAAAUCCCUCGGCUUAACCGGGGAACUGCGUCUGAUACUGGAUGGCUUGAGUUCGGGAGAGGGAUGCGGAAUUCCAGGUGUAGCGGUGAAAUGCGUAGAUAUCAGGAGGAACACCUGUGGUGUAGACAGCUUACUGGACCAUUUCUGACGCUGAGACACGAAAGCGUGGGUAGCAAACAGG
Molecule: ribosomal RNA, 253 nt
Filed under: uncultured bacterium
Lineage: Bacteria
Description: partial 16S ribosomal RNA
Rfam family: Bacterial small subunit ribosomal RNA
Source: RNAcentral